ACUCCUACGGGAGGCAGCAGUGGGGAAUAUUGCACAAUGGGCGCAAGCCUGAUGCAGCCAUGCCGCGUGUAUGAAGAAGGCCUUCGGGUUGUAAAGUACUUUCAGCGAGGAGGAAGGCAUUAAGGUUAAUAACCUUAGUGAUUGACGUUACUCGCAGAAGAAGCACCGGCUAACUCCGUGCCAGCAGCCGCGGUAAU
RNAcentral lists this ribosomal RNA (197 nucleotides) under uncultured Kluyvera sp. Its description in RNAcentral is "partial 16S ribosomal RNA". It matches the Rfam family "Bacterial small subunit ribosomal RNA", at positions 335 to 524 of the family's 1533-position model. Lineage: Bacteria; Pseudomonadati; Pseudomonadota; Gammaproteobacteria; Enterobacterales; Enterobacteriaceae. The record is from RNAcentral.